RNAcentral lists this transfer RNA (62 nucleotides) under Hippodamia variegata. RNAcentral describes it as "tRNA-Val". The record is from RNAcentral. Lineage: Eukaryota; Metazoa; Arthropoda; Insecta; Coleoptera; Coccinellidae.
CAAUUUAGAGCUUGUAUAAGUAUCUUAUUUACAUUAAGAAGAAAAUCAUUGAUUUAAAUUGA